RNAcentral lists this long non-coding RNA (1499 nucleotides) under Medicago truncatula (barrel medic). Its description in RNAcentral is "long non-coding RNA (MTRU_LNC001410)". Lineage: Eukaryota; Viridiplantae; Streptophyta; Magnoliopsida; Fabales; Fabaceae. The record is from RNAcentral.
CCAAGAUGUGCUGGUGCAAUGGGGAACAUGGUUUUGUAGGACCCUCCCCUCCUAUACUGCGGACUCAAAUCAUGUGUUUGGAUGUAGUAGAAGGAAUCUGUUAUGAUUCAUAGGCAGGCACAUAUUAAGGAAAUUUCAUUCAGAUUGUAGCAAAUCAUUAUAGCCCACAAAAGCAUACUGAAUGAGUGAGUGUUUAGCAUAAUCUUGAUCAAGAAUGCCUCCUCAAUCAAGACUGUGGUUCUCUAUUGAAUAGCACUAAACUUUUAUGAACAAAAUAAUGAAUUAUAAAAUUUUUCUUUGAUGAAAAGGAGGGUUUAAAUUGAAAUAUGAAGUUUUAAUUUAAGAUAUGAAUAUGAAUGAAUCGUUGAUACCUAACUUGCUUGAGAAGGUGAGAUGAUUAUUAAUUUACUAGUUGUGUUUUCCAACUCAUUAUAGCAUAGUUUACCCACUGCAUAAGUGCAUAUCAAUUCCAAAAGCUAAGCAAAGGCAAAAGUGUAAAACUCCUCCCACCACCAAAGGGACCACUUUGAUAUUAACCUAUCAGUAAAUAAAGGAAAAGAUUACUUCUUUGUACCUAAUUAUCAAACUCUUUUAGAAAGAAAAAAGUUGUCUCUAAAUAUAAAUUUUGCUUCAAAUUAUUAUAUACAUAUUUCCCAAAUAUGUAAGGGUUUCCUCCAUUAACGGUAUAAUGGAUGGAUAAUUGCAAAUUAAUUAUGAAAUCAAACGUAGAAUUGAUAGAUGAGAAUUCAAUCGGAGUUGGUGUUCUUAAUGCAUAAAAGAAUUAAUGGAAAUAUAGAAGAAAACUUAGUCUAAGACUUCCAUUACUCUAUAAGAGAGUAUCAAAUGGAAGAGAUGAUUGCCUUUAUCAAUUUUCUUCAUAAUCAUUAUUGAUCAUCGUUUCUUUAUUUACGGACAACCAUUGUAAGAGAGUAUCCAAGGGGAGAGAUGAUUGCCUUCAUCAAUUUUCUUCAUAUAACCAUUAUUGAUCAUCGUUUCUUUUAUUUACGGACAAUCACCGACCACAUGUUCAUUUGUUUCAAUCGAUUAUAUUAUAUCAAAUGUAUUUUCUCAUAUGCCAUUUCGAAUUGCAACAAAAUAUUUUUAUAAAAUUUAUAGUCCUCCAUUCGACAUCGAUGAUUUCCCUCUCCUAAAAAGGAAUUAAAUAGUACCAUUACAUCCUACGAUAUAACUCAAGUGAUUAAUUUUUGUCAUAAAAAUAUAACACAAGUGAUUAAUCUCUCUCUCUUGUAAAAAAAAAGUGAUUAAUCUCUCCAAUUAAUUGUAGAAUAAAUAUCACAUUUAAAAAAAAAAAUACAUACUAUUUUCACCAUUUUGUAAAAAAUAAAUACACCCUAAUUAUUGUUUUAGUUAAAGAAAUUUAAGGUGAAUUAGGCUUAGGAAGUUACUAAAAUUACAACAGACUUCAAGAUACAUCAAGGGCUAAUCAUCUGUUUGAACUAACGGUUCUUUGAAUACUGUCGCACAUUUAGUGAGAAGCU